AUGAUGUCUGCAGCUUUGAGGGACCAGCAGCAGCACAGGAUCUUCAAGGCCACAAUCUCUCUGCUGCUGCUGCUGUGUCACUUUCUACACAGGGGAACAUCUGACGGAGUUUGUACUUAGGACCAGCUUCCCGAGAACAGCGACUCCUGGGAAAAGGUUUAACACAGCAGUCCCAUGACCUUGUCUUAUCUGAAUAUACUGCCCCCACCUCCCCAGUACAAGAGACGACAUCCAUCCGAAGCCAAGAAUUCUGAGAUCAGGAAGCUACCAACCUCUACCCUCUUGGGUCGGUCUGUGGGCCUCCAAAGGGGUGUCCCCAAGAAGGUGUCAGAACCCUUGCCUCAUGUUUUUCUAACUUCAUGGCCUUCCAUUGAGAUGGUCAAUAACACCAUGUGCA
This is a long non-coding RNA of Mus musculus (house mouse), 397 nucleotides long. RefSeq annotates it as predicted gene, 41647. Lineage: Eukaryota; Metazoa; Chordata; Mammalia; Rodentia; Muridae. The record is from RefSeq and is a predicted model, not a curated record. The transcript is spliced from 3 exons.